Molecule: ribosomal RNA, 869 nt
Filed under: uncultured organism
Description: bacterial SSU rRNA
Rfam family: Bacterial small subunit ribosomal RNA
Source: RNAcentral
UUGAUCCUGGCUCAGGACGAACGCUGGCGGCGUGCUUAACACAUGCAAGUCAAGGGGAAAGUCUCAGCUUGCUGAGAUGAGUAUACUGGCGGAUGGGUGAGUAACACGUAGGUAAUCUGCCCUUAGGACAGGGAUAACAUUGCUAACGCGAUGCUAAUACCUGAUGAAGCAACUGUUGAAUCAGAUGGUUGUUAAAGGCUGGCUUUCAGCUAGCGCCUGAGGAUGAGCCUGCGUCUCAUUAGCUAGUUGGUAGGGUAAUGGCCUACCAAGGCGACGAUGGGUAGCCGGCCUGAGAGGGUGAGCGGCCACACUGGGACUGAGAUACGGCCCAGACUCCUACGGGAGGCAGCAGUGAGGAAUAUUGCGCAAUGGCCGAAAGGUUGACGCAGCGACGCCGCGUGAGGGAUGAAGCUUUUAGGAGUGUAAACCUCUGUUAGGAGGGAAGAAUAAUGGCAAUUCGAACAGGGUUGUCAGAUGACGGUACCUCCAGAGGAAGCCCCGGCUAACUCCGUGCCAGCAGCCGCGGUAAUACGGGGGGGGCUAGCGUUGUCCGGAAUUACUGGGCGUAAAGGGCGCGUAGGCGGGAUAGCAAGUCAGUGGUGCAAACUUGAGGCUUAACUUCAAGCUUGCCAUUGAUACUGUUAUUCUUGAGUUCGGCAGAGGGAAGUGGAAUUCCUGGUGUAGCGGUGAAAUGCGUAGAUAUCAGGAAGAACACCGGUGGCGAAGGCGGCUUCCUGGUCCGAUACUGACGCUGAGGCGCGAAAGCGUGGGGAGCGAACAGGAUUAGAUACCCUGGUAGUCCACGCUGUAAACGAUGGGUACUAAGUGUAGGUUGUAAUGAUCAGCGCCGGAGCAAACGCAUUAAGUAC